Long non-coding RNA from Homo sapiens (human), 482 nucleotides. Lineage: Eukaryota; Metazoa; Chordata; Mammalia; Primates; Hominidae. The record is from Ensembl.
GUCAGAGUGAGAGGAGAAAAGUGUCUUUUUAGUUUAGUUUUGUCAAACCUGAGGAUUCGUUUUUCAGUUUAGCCGGAGCUGUGCCGCAAACGUAGCUGCCGACAUCCCCACGACGCACCCAAGUGGUGGCCCGGAAGCUGGGGAUAGAAAAGUGGCCUCCCCGAAUGCCAGGCACACAGGCCUUACUACCAGAAGCUUGAGCUGGGAGCCUCGGCCGUCGCAUCUCUAAGAAUUUUAAACGGAAGAACGCAGAAGAAUUCUCUUUAUGUUACCUUUAUUUAGCAACAAAUCAACUUGACUCAACUGAUACUUACUGAGUGCCUUUAAAGGAUGUGCUGAAACAGGUGGUGACUUUUCAAAUAAAAAUUCAGAGCCACAGGGAGAAAGUUGCAAUGUGGAACCAUCAACAUAUUGUACUUGUACUGAAUCAUCUUCAUAAAGUAUCAUUCGCAGUUCAGCUGCCAUUACAACGGCAGGAUAAG